This is a small nuclear RNA of Octodon degus (degu), 107 nucleotides long. The record is from Ensembl. NCBI's taxonomy places the organism in Eukaryota, Metazoa, Chordata, Mammalia, Rodentia, Octodontidae.
AUGCUUGCUUUGCUAGCACAUACACUAAAAUUGAAAUGAGGUAGAGAAGAGUAGCAAGGCCCCUUCACAAUGAUGACUUGCAAGUUGAUGAAGUAUUCCAUAUUUUA